Molecule: unclassified non-coding RNA, 352 nt
Filed under: soil metagenome
Description: partial contains 5.8S ribosomal RNA, internal transcribed spacer 2, and large subunit ribosomal RNA
Rfam family: 5.8S ribosomal RNA (bases 1-120)
Source: RNAcentral
GAUGAAGAACGUAGCGAAAUGCGAUAAGUAAUGUGAAUUGCAGAAUUCAGUGAAUCAUCGAAUCUUUGAACGCACAUUGCGCCCGCCAGUAUUCUGGCGGGCAUGCCUGUUCGAGCGUCAUUUCAACCCUCAAGCCCUGCUUGGUGUUGGGUGCCGGCACGCGCGCCUCCGGGCGCCCGCCGCCCCCGAAAUGAAUUGGCGGUCUCGUCGCAGCCUCCCUCGCGUAGUAGUAAAACAUCUCGCUUGGUGGAGUGCGGCGCGGCCACGCCGUAAAACCUCUUAAUUUUUUUUAAGUUGACCUCGGAUCAGGUAGGAAUACCCGCUGAACUUAAGCAUAUCAAUAAGCGGAGGA